UGCCUUACACAUGCAAGUCGAACGGCAGCACGGGAGCAAUCCUGGUGGCGAGUGGCGAACGGGUGAGUAAUAUAUCGGAACGUGCCCAGUCGUGGGGGAUAACGUAGAGAAAUUUACGCUAAUACCGCAUACGAUCUACGGAUGAAAGCGGGGGACUCGCAAGGGCCUCGCGCGAUUGGAGCGGCUGAUAUCAGAUUAGGUAGUUGGUGGGGUAAAAGCCUACCAAGCCUACGAUCUGUAGCUGGUUUGAGAGAACGACCAGCCACACUGGGACUGAGACACGGCCCAGACUCCUACGGGAGGCAGCAGUGGGGAAUUUUGGACAAUGGGCGCAAGCCUGAUCCAGCCAUGCCGCGUGCAGGAAGAAGGCCUUCGGGUUGUAAACUGC
Molecule: ribosomal RNA, 388 nt
Filed under: uncultured organism
Description: bacterial SSU rRNA
Rfam family: Bacterial small subunit ribosomal RNA
Source: RNAcentral